CGGGCACGGCACGGCACGGCACGGAGCGCGGGGCCCCCGGGCGGCGCUGCCCGGGUUGGGGCCGUGGCAGGCGUUGUUUUCCUCGGAGAGCAGAGGAGGAGGAGGAGGAGGAGGAAAUCUCCGGGUUUUUAAUGAGGGGGUGCAGCGGGGCUGAGCGCUGGGAUUACACGGCGCGGAGCCGGAGCUGCGGGCUGUGUGUGUGCGCGCAGGGCUGGCCGUCCCCGCCUGUCUGCCUGCUAAUCGCACGUUUUCCGCUGUUAAAAAGAAACCGAGACGCUGUGGCCGAGCCCAGCGCUGUCUCUGUGACUGUGACAUGAAAAGAUGGCGCUCUCUCCCCUCCCCCAGCCUCCCUCUCGGCUUACACUUCCUCCCCAACAGCUUUUGCCUUCCAGUUUUUUAAAGCCCUCUUUUCUCCUUUCCUUCCCCCCCCCGCCCCCUCCUCCGGCCGGAUACCGCGAGCUUCCCAGCCGAUCGCAACGAGAGACUGAGAGGAAACACGCUGCUGCUGUGCAAAAUGUGGACCAUGUGUGGGAACUAUUUACUCAGAGUGCAACUGCAGGCACCAGGCGAGGGGCUGGCAGAGCCGGGGGGCGGCGGAGAGAGAGGCUACAUCUCUCUCGCCUUUUUUCCUCUCCCCUAAAGCCAAACCACAUCGCUGCAUGUGUAACGGUGCGUUUUACCGACUUUCUCGCUGGGCACAUGCUUUUUUUAUAAGUCCAAGGCUUUCGCGAUGCGCUUUUGUGUUUGCCCACCUCAAGCCUCUGCGGGCAAAGGGUUAAAUCUUCGGAGCAGUGGAAGGAAGCAGCUGAGUUUCAACAACAACAAAAAAAAAAGGUGGGGGGAGAAGAAAGGAGCGGGAGCAGGGAAGAAGCGAGGCGAGAGGGCUGCACGGUCCCCUGAUUGUCCCUUUGGCUGCUGUAGAAUAAUAAAAAUAAUUAAUAACAA
This is a long non-coding RNA of Cygnus olor (mute swan), 945 nucleotides long. RefSeq lists it as uncharacterized. The transcript is spliced from 2 exons. The record is from RefSeq and is a predicted model, not a curated record. Lineage: Eukaryota; Metazoa; Chordata; Aves; Anseriformes; Anatidae.